UUCUGGCUCAGGACGAACGCUGGCGGCGUGCCUAAUACAUGCAAGUCGAACGGCCUUUCUAUGGAAGCUUGCUUCCACUGAGAAGAUAGUGGCGAACGGGUGAGUAACACGUGGGUAACCUGCCCAUAAGAGGGGGGAUAACAUCCGGAAACGGGUGCUAAUACCGCAUAGUUUUCUUGGUCGCAUGAUCGGGAAAGGAAAGACGGCCUUUGUGCUGUCGCUUAUGGAUGGACCCGCGGCGUAUUAGUUAGUUGGUGAGGUAACGGCUCACCAAGACGAUGAUACGUAGCCGACCUGAGAGGGUGAUCGGCCACAUUGGGACUGAGACACGGCCCAAACUCCUACGGGAGGCAGCAGUAGGGAAUCUUCCGCAAUGGACGAAAGUCUGACGGAGCAACGCCGCGUGAGUGAAGAAAGGUUUUCGGAUCGUAAAACUCUGUUGUCAGAGAAGAACAAGUUGGAGAGUAACUGCUCCAGCCUUGACGGUAUCUGACCAGAAAGCCACGGCUAACUACGUGCCAGCCGCCGC
This 529-nucleotide ribosomal RNA is filed under the name uncultured bacterium. RNAcentral describes it as "bacterial SSU rRNA". It matches the Rfam family "Bacterial small subunit ribosomal RNA", at positions 17 to 518 of the family's 1533-position model. The record is from RNAcentral.